This 468-nucleotide ribosomal RNA is filed under the name uncultured bacterium. RNAcentral's name for it is "partial 16S ribosomal RNA". It matches the Rfam family "Bacterial small subunit ribosomal RNA", at positions 28 to 507 of the family's 1533-position model. The record is from RNAcentral.
GACGAACGCUGGCGGCGUGCUUAACACAUGCAAGUCGAACGGAAAGGCCCUGCUUUUGUGGGGUGCUCGAGUGGCGAACGGGUGAGUAACACGUGAGUAACCUGCCCUUGACUUUGGGAUAACUUCAGGAAACUGGGGCUAAUACCGGAUAGGAGCUCCUGCUGCAUGGUGGGGGUUGGAAAGUUUCGGCGGUUGGGGAUGGACUCGCGGCUUAUCAGCUUGUUGGUGGGGUAGUGGCUUACCAAGGCUUUGACGGGUAGCCGGCCUGGGAGGGUGACCGGCCACCAUGGGACUGAGGUACGGCCCAGACUCCUACGGGAGGCAGCAGUGGGGAAUAUUGCACAAUGGGCGGAAGCCUGAUGCAGCAACGCCGCGUGCGGGAUGACGGCCUUCGGGUUGUAAACCGCUUUCGCCUGUGACGAAGCGUGAGUGACGGUAAUGGGUAAAGAAGCACCGGCUAACUACGUG